RNAcentral lists this ribosomal RNA (491 nucleotides) under uncultured bacterium. RNAcentral describes it as "partial 16S ribosomal RNA". It matches the Rfam family "Bacterial small subunit ribosomal RNA", at positions 28 to 507 of the family's 1533-position model. The record is from RNAcentral.
GAUGAACGCUGGCUACAGGCUUAACACAUGCAAGUCGAGGGGAAACGACGGGGAAGCUUGCUUCCCCGGGCGUCGACCGGCGCACGGGUGAGUAACGCGUAUCCAACCUGCCUCUGACUGAGGGAUAACCCGUCGAAAGUCGGCCUAAUACCUCAUGGCAUCGUCUGCGGGCAUCCAACGACGAUUAAAGAUUUCAUCGGUCAGGGAUGGGGAUGCGUCUGAUUAGCUUGUUGGCGGGGUAACGGCCCACCAAGGCUACGAUCAGUAGGGGUUCUGAGAGGAAGGUCCCCCACAUUGGAACUGAGACACGGUCCAAACUCCUACGGGAGGCAGCAGUGAGGAAUAUUGGUCAAUGGGCGGGAGCCUGAACCAGCCGAGUAGCGUGCAGGAUGACGGCCCUAUGGGUUGUAAACUGCUUUUAUGCGGGGAUAAAGUGAGGGACGUGUCCUUCAUUGCAGGUACCGCAUGAAUAAGGACCGGCUAAUUCCGUG